RNAcentral lists this non-coding RNA (27 nucleotides) under Homo sapiens (human). The record is from RNAcentral. Lineage: Eukaryota; Metazoa; Chordata; Mammalia; Primates; Hominidae.
UGCUCUCUGGAGAGGUGGUUUAAAGUG